UUUGCAACUAAAUUGUAGUUGCUAGUGUUAAUAAUUUUGAAACCAUUCUAUUGCAACUAACAUGGUAGUCGCUAGGUCGCUACCAUUCUUUUUAAAAUUUAUUAAAAAAGAAAUAAAAAAAAACAAAAAAACCCUUAGUACAUCACUCAUUCAGUAGUUCCUUUAUUCAUAAUACAUUAAUACGUGAGUAAUACAUAGUCUACAUACUCUUUUAGCCAUAUUUUUCAGAUAAAGAACCAGGGCUUGAUAAGUGUAUGUCAUCAUAACCAAUUCUAAUCACUCACCAAGCUCCUUUCCCUGAAACCACGAAAACAUAAAAGUUUCAGUCAGAAAAUGACAGCCGAAUGUACAAGCUUUAUGCAGUAAACAUAAGCAGGCCAUUUCAGAUCGAACCCGUCGACGUUGUCUUCUUCCGCCGCUGCGCCACCAUAUCUCCAGUCCACCAAGCACUUAAAAGAACUCCCUGUCAAAAAGAAAGAAGUCGAGAAAAAGACACUAAUUAGGUAUGUUUAUUGCUUGUUUAAUAAUUUAUCUUGUUUAAUAUAUGAGUCAAUGAUUAAUGUAUUUGGCUGUCUAUAAUGAGUGCUCAAUAAUAUUCCCCCUGCUUCUAUGUGUUUCAGAUUUAUGCUUUUGAUAUUCGCUGCUUUAAAUUACGUUGAUGUUAUAUGGGUAAUAUCGUUUGAUUUUAUACUGUUAGAAUCUUUUUGGUUAGAUGUUUAAAGACUUUGUAGUGAUUCGCAUUGAAUUGUAAGCAACUAUAAUAUACCUGUACAAAAUCUGUUCAUAUAAUUCAAUUAAGGUGUCUAAUAAACUUGUAUCCAAGUUCUAAGGCUUAGUUGUUGGGGUGGGGAUUUUAGUGGAUUGAAAAACUGAAUAUUAUUGAUGAAUUUAGGCCUUUAAAUAGGCUACAGCUAUGUAAGCAAAACUUACAAAACAAAGCUAAGAAAUUGCAUAAAACAUCAAGGAAAACAACCCUUGCUAGCUUAACAUGCUUAUCAGAUUUUCCAGUUGUACCACUUGACAAAACCUGUCUUAAAACCCCAAAAAAUAUUUUUGGUUAAUUUUUCUAAUAUUUUUCUUUAACACUAGAUAUCCUAUUUUAAUUACUGCAACUGGAAUCGCCUCAAAAUUCGAAUCCAAUUGGUGCAGACCCACCUGUAGAACUCAUAAACUGACUUUUAAAUAUAUCCUUUUAUAUGAAGCCCCUGGAAUUUAUGGCUUAUCUUUUGUUAUCUGGUAUAAUAUUGUAGAACUCUUAAAAUGUGAAUCUUACAGGGAUCUAAGCAAUAUAAUCUACUUCUAAGCAACACAAUCUUACUAACUUCACUUAUAUAUCUCAUAUGCAGCUGCAUAUUUUGAUGUAUGUAGUUUCCUCUGGUCUGAAAUUUUGUUCUCUAAUUAGGUAAAACAUAUUGAGUUGUAGCAAUCUACUAUAGUUCUAUUCUACUUGUUUCACUAUAAGCAUAUGCAAAUCAUGGAUAUCAUACACAGAUGCAUUAAGUUUAGAUGUAUACUAUAUAUAACAAUUAUUGCUUCAUUUUUUUGUUCCUAUUAAGUUUCUUUUUUGGUUUCUGUCUAUUUAUGUUUUCCUACCUAAUGAAGAUUGAACACUUCUCUUUCAAUUGUUUCAAAAAUAAAGAAAAAGGAUUGUGUAUACACUAUAUGACUUCAUUUAAGCUACUUUGAAUUACAAUUAUCUGAUUAUUGUAUCUAUUAUAUGUUAAAUUCAGUAUUUGUAGUUAAUGCGUAGCUUAGAUUAGUUAUACUGGGUAUAUCAGCAUAGACAUAAAUUUCCUCAUUUGAGACUUACCGGAUAUCCUAUUCUUCCCAAAACUGAUGCUUUGCUCUUGGUUCUUCCUUAUCCUGGUAUAAAAAAAACUGAUUUUCAUUGAUACCACUAUCGAUUAUUAAGGUGCAAAGUUGGCUAGAUGAAUGAGUAGCUAUUAGAUGUCAUGUUUUUUUGAAGUCUGUAGAAUUACAUGCUCUAUUAACUGCUUUUGUGCAAGGUCGCAACUCACAUAUUUAUGUUCUCGCUGCUCUGUUGCUCUUAACUAUAAUGAAUUGAUUGCUCUAGUCAUCAUGGUUCCAUUGAAAAUGUUUAAUGUACAAUAGUAGGGCAAUGCUUGUAAAAUUAAUUACAUUGGUUUGUCAAUUGCUUUCCAAUCAAGUGUCUGAUUGAAACACCCUCUCCACGCUUGAAAUUUGGAGAAAAGCUGCAAUUAUAUAAUCAUUGAGUCUAUCUUAUUUAUGUCUUCUUGUGUGAUUAUAUAUCAUGAUUAGGAUGUUGUUCACAUAUUUAUUUAUUUUUUCAUUAGGUUUUUGGCCUAUAUACUUGUAUAGAGAACUCAGGUAUAUGUGUUAUUAGAUUGCCAAUGUAUGCUUCAUGUAAAUACCCUUGAGAAAGUGAGAAACAUUCCAACGUUGCGUUUGUAGAUGAUUGUAUGUCUGGUUUCCUAUCAUAAGAAAGAGAAUCUGUCAAAUAAAUUAUCUAGGCUUGUUAUCAUUUAUAUCUCAACUAAGCUUUCAAGUUGAAGAAUUAAAGAAGAUGGCGGAAGAAAACAAUGACAAGGCAGAAGAAAGCCAAAAAAUGGCGGCAGAAAGCUUAAAAUAUGCCAGGGAAAUUGCUGAAAAUCAUGAGAUAGAAUAAGCAACAUGGAAGAAGGAAAAAAAGCUUAGCACAAAACAUUGAAGGAUAUGACAACACUUGUCCAACAUUACUAUCCUACGAAGCCUCCUACGUUUACUGUCACCCUGUAUCGUGAUGCAACUUAGUGAUUUUAUUUCUUGGUGGUAAUUUUGUGAACAGUUGAUCUAUAUAUUGGAGGCGUAUUUGUAUAUCAUUAGUUCUUAUUGGAAGUAGCUUCCUUUAUACGGGAGGUGAUUUUGAAACAAUUAUUCUUAUGGUUUUAGAAUAUUGUUUUUUAAUAUAUUGAUACAAAAUUGAUGAUAUUUUUGAUAUAUGAAUAAAAUUGACAUUUUGGUUA
Long non-coding RNA from Chenopodium quinoa (quinoa), 2984 nucleotides. RefSeq lists it as uncharacterized. The record is from RefSeq and is a predicted model, not a curated record. Lineage: Eukaryota; Viridiplantae; Streptophyta; Magnoliopsida; Caryophyllales; Amaranthaceae. The transcript has 2 exons.